AAAAAAAAAUAAGGCGAAUCCAAGUGGGGGCUAGUAUUGUUUUCACGCUGUCCUCCGGCCUUGCCCCAGCCAACUGGCAGGAGACAGCAGGCAGCAGAUGUCUCGGGAGGACAAAGCCAGACACACACUACACCAGACACUCAUAAUUGAUGGCUUUUGUCGAGCGGGGCUUGCGUUAGGUCCCCCCCUCCCCGCCUCCUUGUCUUCAACUUUCUGUGUGUAUCCCCUGCCCCAGCUCGCCACCCCUUCGACAGGGGGUUGGAGAGUGGGACGACUUUCUUAUUUGCACUGGGUUUUCUUUUUCUCGAGCGUUUGUAUUUCCUUCUUACUUUAUUGUAUUGUUGAACGGACAAUUGUGAUUAGCUCGGAGACCGGCAAAGUGAUGCCUUCCCCUGAGCUGACUCAUGGUUUACGUGAAGAUGCUGAAGCAGAAGGUGUGUUUUAAAGGAGUCCAAAAGCCACUGCAGAAGUAACGUAGCCACCGUCGUCUUGCCAGUACCUUCUCGAUGGAUUGAGAGCUCCUCUGAGCUGGGAGCUCUAAGAAACAGGGGAUUCUGCGGCUCUGUUCGAGUCGCCAUUAUCUCUUAGACACUAUAACCCUUUUUUUUCUUUUUUUUUUUUUUUUUAAUACUUUUUUUUUUCCAUUGAAGGAGUGCUUUAUUGUCAUUACUGUCAUGGUUGUAAUUAUACAUUUAAAUCCAGGCCUGUUAUAGUCAGGCUUAAUAAUGUACAGGGCAAGGGAGACGUGAAGGUUUUUUGUUCUUUGGAGACUAAUAAUGUGAAGAAAAUCAAUUUAUGACAAAAAGGAGGAAAAAAGUAGAGGAAAAAAUAGGAAAAGCCAAAAAUAGACAUUUUGAGCCUGGCUUCUAUCUAGCUGAAUUUGCUAUCCAGUGUUUCUAGGUGUGCGGUGUACGGGAGUGGCUCUGUCCCAUGGUCAGUGUAAGAGGCACUGUGUCACCAAGGGAUAGAUGAUGUGUUCGGAGGGGGAGACUUUGCUCGGGGAUCCCCAGGCAGCUCCAUGCUGGAGCAUCCUGAGGGAGGGGGUGGCUGCAGGGGGGUGAUGGCAAGACACCGCCUGGGCAAGGAGAUGCCUGGAGGGUGAGGAGGCUGGUACGGAGGGAUGCACCACGCCACUGCAUCGCUCCCUGAACCAUGAACAAGGCUUAGUGGUCUCUUUAUUUGCUUGUCUAGCGAUGCUUUGGCUUACUAAAUCGCUUCAGGUGCUUAUUUCAGCUGUGCGAGCUGCCCUGUCACAUCUGUGCAGUAGAAGAGAGCCAAGGAAGGCACAGUGCCGGCAGCCCGUCCUGUAUUCUUCCCAUUAUUCAACUUACUUUCCUUUCCUGGUGAGAAGAAGAGAAUUUAUGCCACGACGCUGGCGUGCAUGGCCCCCGGAUCAGGCAGGCUGGGUCUGAACCCAGCAGCUCAAACCCGUUUUUCCAAGGAAGACGUUGAAUUCCUGGUGGCUUGUACAGGAGAAAGUUUUCACCCUGACCUCUUUGGAUGUGCAGUAUGUUCUUGGGUGCCUUAUGAAUGUGUCGGUCUGUCUGUGAUGGGGUGGAAGCUUUCGCUGCAAAAUUUAAAGGGCAGAAAUUUUCAGCAGAAAAUGCAUUGCAGGAGACAGAGAGUCCUGAUGCUGCAGUUCAAUUUUAAAUUUAAAUUUUCAUCUAGUUGUCUGCUGAUGUGGUUCCUAACCUGCACAUGGAACAAGAGGAGCAAGCUGGAAACGGGAGCUUCAGUCCUCCUGUCUACCCAGAAAGCAGUAAAAUGGUUGCUGAAAGCACUGGACUUGGUUGGAAAAAUUAAUUUCUGCUUCAUGGAUUCGAGCCCGGGAGCUUUGCAUGGUGACAGUGCCUGGCGUUGCCUCAGCUUCGUUAGUAGCAAUGGGGUUUGAUAGUAUUAAUGAGCAGCUGAACUUGAUGGAGGCGGCAAAGCCCAUCAGUAUUAUAAGGCUCAGGGUUGUGCCCAUUGAUCUUGACUUUUCGUGCUCCCUGAUUUCUCAGGGAGUGGAGGAGAAGGGGAUUUAACACCUAUUGCCGUGUGCCCAGGCACAGCUUCAGCCUUCUGGGAGAAGACCAGAUAUCUGAUCUGAAAACCAGAUUUGUCUUGAUUAUUAUUUUUUUUUAAGAACAGAAAAGUCCUAUAAUGGGGGCACAGCCUGGUGGGUCAGGGUGCGAGGGAUCCUGCCGGCAGCGAUCCAGACCACCACUCUGGCCCCUGCAGCUUCUCCCUUCCCCCAGAAUUUGCUCUCGGGAUGUAGUGAAAGAAGAAAAGAAAAAAAAAAGAAAGAAAACCCCAGAGAAUUGGAGAUUUGGCUUCUAAAAUCCUGAAUUUUCACCUAUCAGUGCGUCAGGAGGCAUUCACAGUUGUGAAGCCACUGGCUACAUCUCCCCAGAUUAGCCAGAUUCAAUCUUCGCUGCUCAAUAGAAGUAUCCACGUGGGGCUUUAAUAUGACGUCCCCAUGCGGCUGUAUCAGCAAAGGGGCAAAGAACCUCCUCGAGCCAAAUAUGUAUGGGGCCAAACCUUGGGCUGGUAUGAAGGUGAGUGUCUGAAGCAUCUGCAGAGGAGCGAUGCUCUGCAGCACCGCCAUGCCGGUCCCCCUCGGAUGCAGAGCAGGUUUGCUGGCUCUCUGCCAGACUCCCCAGCAUCUAAUUCACGUCGUUCCUGGUGAAAUUAUUUCCCAGCUGAAGAUUUUUGCUACCCACAAAAUGACUUGCUUGGUUUCCCUGUGAGGGAUUUCACUCCCCUUUGGAGAAGUCUUAUGUAUAGGGAGGUGAAAUGAAAAUGGGGGGAAAAAAGGAAAAGUAAGCGAUUUGCCUGGUUCCCCUGUUCCCCUGAAGAAGAUUAAUUAGUAUCUAUUCUUGGCGUGAUUGAUGGCUUUGAAGGAAAACUUGUCAGAGUAACUUAUGAUUUAUUUUCAUGCUUAUUUUUGUAACAUCCCUCACUUGGAAGUCUCUCAAAAUCUUAAAUACUAUUUUUUUUCUCACUUCCCCGCUGGCUAUUUUAUGGCUUUACACUAAUCUUGCUCUUCUUGGUGUUAGCUAUUAGCAAGUCCCGGUGAUAUCUUCAGUAUCUUUUCAGGAGAAAUGACACUAAGGGUUGCAAAGUCCACUGUUGAUAGCCAAGGGAGCUGCGGUAUCCUGCAGAACACGGAGUUAACGCUAGCAAUUCAUUGUAUUUUUUUUAAUGUAUUUAUUUGCAUUUGAAAAAACAACAUUUUUAAUUUAAUCAUAUUUGUUAAACUAAGCGCUUUAAAAAAAUUAAAAAAAAAUUUAAAAAAAAUUAAAAAAAAGGAAAAAGGUUUGGGGAAGAAUAAAGACUAGAUAUUCAUACUAGAGAAAACACAAACUCAAUGUUUUCAGCAUUUCAGAGACUGUUAAAACAAGGGAGCUCAUAACUCUUUGUGGCAAUUCAGUCUUUGUUUAUAGAACAUCCAGACCCACUGUAUGCUAUAAAAUGCAUCAUCUGAGUAAUAAAUGUUUAAAGCUUGA
Molecule: long non-coding RNA, 3488 nt
Organism: Falco peregrinus (peregrine falcon)
Lineage: Eukaryota; Metazoa; Chordata; Aves; Falconiformes; Falconidae
Exons: 2
Source: RefSeq, a predicted model, not a curated record